AUGACUGGAGGCAUUAUGGUGAUGUCGUACGGUUGGUGUGGAGCGCAAUUAGUUUGUCGAUGGGUUACCGUUGGAGAAAGAGGCGGCCCGUGGCGGCCGUUGAGUCGUGAACAAAAGAAGUUUCCGUCGAUGGAAAGGACACUGGUGUUGGUUGUCGUGGAGGAGUCGACAGUGUUGUUGGUGCAUGGUGUCGGAAGAAGGAAUGGCGGGGAGAUUCAUGUUUUAUGGCUACUCUGGUCGAUCAACGUCAUCGCGAGGGGGUAUGCAUCGGUUGUGGAACUGCUAGAUGUUGAUGGGUAA
Molecule: non-coding RNA, 300 nt
Organism: Vicia faba (fava bean)
Lineage: Eukaryota; Viridiplantae; Streptophyta; Magnoliopsida; Fabales; Fabaceae
Source: the annotation of a GenBank genome assembly